AAGUUUUUAAAAGGCUGGAAUGUGACUCAGUGGUAGAGAGCUUGCCAGCAUGUGCAAACCCCUGGAUUCAAUCCCUGGUAGGACAAUAAUAACAA
This 95-nucleotide microRNA precursor is filed under the name Octodon degus (degu). RNAcentral describes it as "miRNA (ENSODEG00000022171.1)". Lineage: Eukaryota; Metazoa; Chordata; Mammalia; Rodentia; Octodontidae. The record is from RNAcentral.